AACACCUCCCUACAGCACCAAAUUGAGACCAAGUAUUUAGCACAUAGGCCUUUAAGGGGUGCUGCAGACCCAAAACUACAGAACCCUAUUAUACCUAUAUCCACAGACAUGAGGAUGCUGCGAGGGGGGCCCUGCCCCUGAGAGCCUGGCCGACAAUGACAUACACUGAAUGUGCUUGGAUGGUUGUCUAUGAAAAGGGAGAACCACGCAGGAAUAAACGACUACACUAGAGAGCGGGGCUGUCCAGGAGUCUAUGAUAAAGUGCGUCGUGAACUGGAGUGAAAACAAUCGACUCAGCCCUCUGGUUCUGCGCGCAAAGUAAACAAGAGUCUUAAGCUCGCCAUCAAUUACCAAGGCAACCGAGGACCUGAAUAUUAAGUGGAUGCUUCACCCAAAACAAGCAGUUUCAUGAGGAGCCUCUGAUGGGCCAUAAAGUUAAACAUGGUGCGGAGUCAGUAGAUCAGGGGUUCCGUUAGAUGCCGUGUUGCAUCUUUCUUUCCCAAGUAAAGCGUUCGAGUGGUCCCCAUGAAGUAAGAAAAGCAGCGUGCCCAGCGUGAACGCAGCGGGCUGUCUCCCCAGGAAGGAAGUACAUCGGCGGCACUGGCUUCAUUAACUUUGUUUGUCCGUCGCUGGACCUCUGGGAGUUUUCAGGUUUGUCUUCCUGAAGGAUCUUCUGAAGAUGCUAACCUUUCCUGGAAGGCCAGUCUUGGUUGUCAACUUGACAGACCCAGGAAGAGAAAACCUCCAGUCCCAGUCCCUCCAUCAGAUUCAUCUGCGGAGUAUUUUCUUGGCUGGUGAUUUAUGUAAGAGGGCCCAGCACACCAUGGGCGGUCCUGAGUUU
Molecule: long non-coding RNA, 841 nt
Organism: Apodemus sylvaticus (European woodmouse)
Lineage: Eukaryota; Metazoa; Chordata; Mammalia; Rodentia; Muridae
Exons: 2
Source: RefSeq, a predicted model, not a curated record